UCGAACGCGUCUCCGUUAAUGAUUUUAGGUGCUUGCACUUGAAAGAUUUAACAUUGAGACGAGUGGCGAACUGGUGAGUAACACGUGGGUAACCUGCCCUUGAAGUAGGGGAUAACACUUGGAAACAGGUGCUAAUACCGUAUAACAACCAAAACCACCUGGUUUUGGUUUAAAAGACGGCUUCGGCUGUCACUUUAGGAUGGACCCGCGGCGCAUUAGCUUGUUGGUAAGGUAACGGCUUACCAAGGCGAUGAUACGUAGCCGACCUGAGAGGGUAAUCGGCCACAUUGGGACUGAGACACGGCCCAAACUCCUACGGGAGGCAGCAGUAGGGAAUCUUCCACAAUGGACGAAAGUCUGAUGGAGCAACGCCGCGUGAGUGAUGAAGGGUUUCGGCUCGUAAAACUCUGUUGUUGGAGAAGAACAGGUGUCAGAGUAACUGUUGACAUCUUGACGGUAUCCAACCAGAAAGCCACGGCUAACUACGUGCCAGCAGCCGCGGUAAUACGUAGGUGGCAAGCGUUGUCCGGAUUUAUUGGGCGUAAAGCGAGCGCAGGCGGUUUUUUAGGUCUGAUGUGAAAGCCUUCGGCUUAACCGGAGAAGUGCAUCGGAAACCGGGAGACUUGAGUGCAGAAGAGGACAGUGGAACUCCAUGUGUAGCGGUGAAAUGCGUAGAUAUAUGGAAGAACACCAGUGGCGAAGGCGGCUGUCUGGUCUGUAACUGACGCUGAGGCUCGAAAGCAUGGGUAGCGAACAGGAUUAGAUACCCUGGUAGUCCAUGCCGUAAACGAUGAGUGCUAAGUGUUGGAGGGUUUCCGCCCUUCAGUGCUGCAGCUAACGCAUUAAGCACUCCGCCUGGGGAGUACGACCGCAAGGU
This 877-nucleotide ribosomal RNA is filed under the name uncultured bacterium. Its description in RNAcentral is "bacterial SSU rRNA". It matches the Rfam family "Bacterial small subunit ribosomal RNA", at positions 62 to 894 of the family's 1533-position model. The record is from RNAcentral.